Long non-coding RNA from Homarus americanus (American lobster), 2611 nucleotides. RefSeq lists it as uncharacterized. Lineage: Eukaryota; Metazoa; Arthropoda; Malacostraca; Decapoda; Nephropidae. The record is from RefSeq and is a predicted model, not a curated record. The transcript has 2 exons.
UCCACAGGUAAUUGUUCAAGCUGCCAUCAGGUGACGGGCCUCCCAGGAGUGAAGAGUGAGGAGCAACAUCAGAGAAAGACGGUGGUGAUGAGAUUACGGCAGCAGCCCCUCAGCACCAGCACACUCUCCUCAUUCUCGCUGUGAUUUGUUUCACGCCUUUGACGCCCCCAAAUGUGUGAGGAAGAGGACUCCAUCACGCAGGUGUAUUGAGGCGAGACACAGUCGAGGAGGAGACAGUAGUAGUAGUCUAUUGCGCUCACCAUCUUCACCAUCCAGUAACAGUGGGGAUCUGUCUAUAAGCAGAAUCGAUGCAGUCAAGAGAGUGAGGUGUUGUGAUAACCAUCCUCUUAGCGACAACCCUCGACGGUACUUGUCCCCAGCAAACUUACACAACAUACACACACACGCGUACACGCCCUCACACACACACACACACACCGCCACCCCAGCGACCACUCUCUCUCGUUCCUCUGUUCGAGAGAAGAUAUCAUCUGAGGACCCAAGUGUUGAUGGCGUUGCCUUCUCGUGCCACCUGCUGCUGCCCUCCGUCGUGUGCACCACUGCUGCCCCCGUCCAGACUCCUAGCACCCGCCACCACCACCACCCGCGUAUGAUGAGGGGGCCAAGCAGUAUUAUCCCGGAGGUUCAUCACGCCCACUGUCAACACAGAUCGUUUUUCCAGUGACUUUUGACCCUUGAUGAAAGAGUUGACCUAGCGUCUGGAUAUGACGUCAUAGAAGAGAAGCCAAAGUAAAAAGUGUUGCUAUGUGAUAAGUCGUAGCUCAAUAUAUUGCCUACAUGACUGUUGUUGUUGGUUGACCUUGCCUUCCCGGGACCCGUGUAGUCGGUGUAUAUAGCGUAGAAAGUCAGGCUUUAAAUUUGUUUUUAAGUAUACGUCAGUAUUGAAUAUAUUCUAUAGUAAUUCUUGUUAACUUUAAAGUGUGUGCUUGGCAGUGUACAGUGAGGUGUAAUCUGUGCGGUUCACGUCGGGAACCGGUCAUUGUCUGUGAUACUGAAACCAAAUGUCUGUGCAGAAAAAUUCCAAUCUAUAGAACACGAAGUUUUAUGAACAGAAACCUAGUCUUAUAUGUGAUAGACUUGUGUAUCAUUCCUGUCUAAAUUUUUCCUAAUAUAAAAAACAAAGACUCGAGAAUUUAUAGCCACUUUUGAGGCAAAGAAAUCUGCAGACCCGGACGUCCAUCGACACACGGCGCAAAGAAUUAUUAUGGAAAUUGGUGCUUAGUCACAAGGAAGGACAGUUAGAGCGGGAUUUAUGGGCAGCGUCUCGAGAGGAGAGAAGAGAGAAGGUUUACGACCAAGACCUUUUCAUUGUUUUAUGACUCGUGAAAUUUGUGGGGCAGCAGAUUAACAGCAGCAGUCUGUGUCGCGAGGCUGUGAGAUAUGUCGCACAGGAUUAAGAAAAAUUAAUAAAGAAUUGAAGCAUCAGGCGGCACCGUGUGAGGGUUGAGAGGGACGUGUACAGGCUGCUGUACCUCCUCGGCUGCGGCUUUGUCUCUGCUGCAGCUGCACACUGACGCUGCAUAUUGUCGGUCAACACACGAGGCCGGCGGCCACUCCAGCCAACGCCCUGUUGAUUCGCCUCUGUCAACACCUUGAAUUGUUCCAUUUUCUUUUAGUAAGGAAGGAAAGGUAAACUUGGUCAUUUUUAAUCACUGAUCUCGUCAGCUGUAAGUGAAAACGAUAUAUAUAUAUAUAUAUAUAUAUUUUAAUUUUGACACAAGUGGAGUAAACACGUAGCUGACGGUGACAAUUAUUAACGAGGUACACAAAGGUUGGUCACCACUCACUCAGUCACGUUUAUUUGAAGAAGGAUUUGCCGAAGUCAUCAUUUAUCACUUGACUAACACUAUAGUGUGAAGCUCCGGCUAGACCUUGACGAACUGAGUUAUAAAGAAUCACACACCAUCCCUUAGAACGUUGCUUCUGCAGGUAAAAAGACGAAAAGUGAACAAUAGUGAGGACUUUUAAAACACGAGCAGAAAAAAGCACCGAAAAAAAAGUGUUUGUAAACAACCUUCUUUGUGUAACAGAAAACAGUGACGUGAUAACAAGAGUUGAAUAGGAAGCCCUCGUCAGUCAGGCUCUAAGAUCCCCUUCUGUCACAUCCUUGUCACAUCCCGUCACAGCCACGACGUCGACAAGAAUAAGAGGGUCGAACGCCUUUGACAUCUUGAAGUAGACUGAGCUGAGCCACCUCUCUCAUGUUCCUCCAGUGAACCAUCACGGUUAAGACUUAGUGUACCAACAGACAAUAGGCCAGAGAGUUUUUAUGAAUAGUGGUUUAUGAAAGACUGAUUUAAAAAAAAUAUUUUGAAACUGGAUUUUAGACUUGAUUUUUAAUUUGAUAGUGAGGGGCCACACGAGCACUUGAUAGCCAUAAUGGUGAAGAUGGUGCCUCGCCGCGGCUGGCUGCGGCUUUCUUUCUUAGGCUUACUGGCCGCAUGCGCCCUGGUGUACGUGUACUAUUACUCAUCCGGCACACCCAACCCCCACCUGCUCAAGGAUAAGCCGCAGGAGGCAGCGAGGGGAGCCGGAGGGGAGCGGCGGGCGGAGAGGCAGAGUGAGUUGGUGGACGACGGUCAGGGUCAAG